CGGAUAGAGCUGACGUAUCUAUCUCGCAUUCAGUUGUUCUCGUGCGUGGUCCUUGCUGGCCGUUCCUUUCGGGGGGCGGUAGGCUUGCGUUUACUGCGUGCUUGGGCAUUGCUUUUGCGAGUGAAGUGCGCUGAGAGGUGCAUCGUAGCAGCUGGAACUUUGCCUUGAGGACCCUUUUCGGAGGGAAACCUAGGCGUAGGAAAGGUUGAUUGCGGUGCACACGAUGGGUAUGGGUUUCGAUCCGAUCGAUGGUGGAGUCUACUGUGAGCUGCGUUCGCUUGCGAACGUUCUUGCGGUGGGCUUGGCUGUAGGUUUGGUUACCAUGCUCAGCCUCGGUGUAAAAGUCGGUCAUCUAUCCGACCCGUCUUGAAACACGGACCAAGGAGUUUAUCAAAUAUGCGAGUCAUUGAGCGUUAAAAACUCAAAGGCGAAAUGAAAGUGAAGGUGCCCUUGAAGGGCUGAUAUGCGAUCCUAAGCAGCAAUGCGAAGGCGUAGCAUAGCCCCAUCCCGAUUGCUUGCAAUGGGGUGGAGGUAGAGCAUAUUUGCUGAGACCCGAAAGAUGGUGAACUAUGCCUGAGCAGGAUGAAGCCAGAGGAAACUCUGGUGGAAGUCCGAAGCGGUUCUGACGUGCAAAUCGAUCGUCUGACUUGGGUAUAGGGGCGAAAGACUAAUCGAACCAUCUAGUAGCUGGUUCCCUUCCGAA
This 703-nucleotide ribosomal RNA is filed under the name Ditylenchus filimus. RNAcentral's name for it is "partial large subunit ribosomal RNA". It matches the Rfam family "Eukaryotic large subunit ribosomal RNA", at positions 420 to 965 of the family's 3401-position model. The record is from RNAcentral. Lineage: Eukaryota; Metazoa; Nematoda; Chromadorea; Rhabditida; Anguinidae.